This 616-nucleotide ribosomal RNA is filed under the name uncultured bacterium. Its description in RNAcentral is "bacterial SSU rRNA". It matches the Rfam family "Bacterial small subunit ribosomal RNA", at positions 338 to 954 of the family's 1533-position model. The record is from RNAcentral.
CCUACGGGAGGCAGCAGUAAGGAAUAUUGGUCAAUGGAGGCAACUCUGAACCAGCCAUGCCGCGUGCAGGAAGACGGCCCUAUGGGUUGUAAACUGCUUUUGAACUAGAGAAAACCUUGGUACGUGUACCGAGUUGAUAGUAUAGUUAGAAUAGGCAUCGGCUAACUUCGUGCCAGCAGCCGCGGUAAGACGAAGGAUGCAAGCGUUAUCCGGAUUCAUUGGGUUUAAAGGGUGCGUAGGCGGACUGAUAAGUCAGUGGUGAAAUCUCUCAGCUUAACUGAGAAACUGCCAUUGAUACUGUUAGUCUAGAGUACAGAUGAUGUGGGCGGAAUAUGACAUGUAGUGGUGAAAUACUUAGAUAUGUCAUAGAACACCGAUUGCGAAGGCAGCUCACAAAACUGUAACUGACGCUGAGGCACGAAAGUGCGGGGAUCAAACAGGAUUAGAUACCCUGGUAGUCCGCACCGUAAACGAUGAUUACUCGUUGUUGGCGAUAUGACAGUCAGCGACCAAGCGAAAGCGANAAGUAAUCCACCUGGGAGUACGCCGGCGAACGGUGAAACGUUAAAGGAAAUUGACGGCGNGAGAGAGCGACGGACGACGACGAGGGAGGAGG